CUCGUAGGCGGCCAACUAAGUCAUACGUGAAAUCCCUCGGCUUAACCGGGGAACUGCGUCUGAUACUGGAUGGCUUGAGAUUGGGAGAGGGAUGCGGAAUUCCAGGUGUAGCGGUGAAAUGCGUAGAUAUCUGGAGGAACACCGGUGGCGAAGGCGGCAUCCUGGACCAACACUGACGCUGAGGAGCGAAAGCCAGGGAGCAAC
This 204-nucleotide ribosomal RNA is filed under the name uncultured bacterium. RNAcentral describes it as "partial 16S ribosomal RNA". It matches the Rfam family "Bacterial small subunit ribosomal RNA", at positions 568 to 772 of the family's 1533-position model. The record is from RNAcentral.